Molecule: transfer RNA, 64 nt
Filed under: Laemophloeidae sp. KM-2017
Lineage: Eukaryota; Metazoa; Arthropoda; Insecta; Coleoptera; Laemophloeidae
Description: tRNA-Thr
Rfam family: tRNA
About the family: Transfer RNA (tRNA) molecules are approximately 80 nucleotides in length. Their secondary structure includes four short double-helical elements and three loops (D, anti-codon, and T loops). Further hydrogen bonds mediate the characteristic L-shaped molecular structure. tRNAs have two regions of fundamental functional importance: the anti-codon, which is responsible for specific mRNA codon recognition, and the 3' end, to which the tRNAs corresponding amino acid is attached (by aminoacyl-tRNA synthetases). tRNAs cope with the degeneracy of the genetic code in two manners: having more than one tRNA (with a specific anti-codon) for a particular amino acid; and 'wobble' base-pairing, i.e. permitting non-standard base-pairing at the 3rd anti-codon position.
Source: RNAcentral
GUUUUAAUAAUUUAAUAAAAAUAUUAGUCUUGUAAACUAAAAAUAAGAUUAAUCUUUUAAAACA